RNAcentral lists this transfer RNA (74 nucleotides) under Chlamydiae bacterium RIFCSPHIGHO2_12_FULL_49_11. Its description in RNAcentral is "tRNA-Asp". It matches the Rfam family "tRNA". Rfam says of the family: Transfer RNA (tRNA) molecules are approximately 80 nucleotides in length. Their secondary structure includes four short double-helical elements and three loops (D, anti-codon, and T loops). The record is from RNAcentral. Lineage: Bacteria; Pseudomonadati; Chlamydiota. RNAcentral also lists the same sequence under 3 other names.
GCGGGAGUAGUUCAAUUGGUUAGAGCACCAGCCUGUCACGCUGGAAGUUGCGGGUUCGAGUCCCGUCUCUCGCG